GGACCCGCACAAGCAGCGGAGCGUGUGGUUUAAUUCGAGGCUACACGAAGAACCUUACCUGGGUUUGACAUGCUAGUGGUAGCGACGCGAAAGCCGAGCGACCCUUCGGGGAGCUAGCACAGGUGCUGCAUGGUUGUCGUCAGCUCGUGCCGUGAGGUGUUAGGUUAAGUCCUGCAACGAGCGCAACCCCUUCCGUUAGUUAAAUCUCUCUAGCGGGACUGCCGGGGUAACCCGGAGGAGGGUGGGGAUGACGUCAAAUCAGCAUGGCCUUUAUAUCCAGGGCUACACACACGCUACAAUGGUCGGCACAGUGGGCUGCAAUACCGCAAGGUGGAGCCAAUCCUCAAAGCCGGCCCCAGUUCAGAUUGGAGGCUGCAACCCGCCUCCAUGAAGUCGGAGUUGCUAGUAACCGCAGGUCAGCUAUACUGCGGUGAAUACGUUCCCGGGUCUU
RNAcentral lists this ribosomal RNA (451 nucleotides) under uncultured bacterium. RNAcentral describes it as "bacterial SSU rRNA". It matches the Rfam family "Bacterial small subunit ribosomal RNA", at positions 917 to 1382 of the family's 1533-position model. The record is from RNAcentral.